This 99-nucleotide small nuclear RNA is filed under the name Mesocricetus auratus (golden hamster). RNAcentral's name for it is "U2 spliceosomal RNA". It matches the Rfam family "U2 spliceosomal RNA". From Rfam's summary of the family: U2 is a small nuclear RNA (snRNA) component of the spliceosome (involved in pre-mRNA splicing). Complementary binding between U2 snRNA (in an area lying towards the 5' end but 3' to hairpin I) and the branchpoint sequence (BPS) of the intron results the bulging out of an unpaired adenosine, on the BPS, which initiates a nucleophilic attack at the intronic 5' splice site, thus starting the first of two transesterification reactions that mediate splicing. Lineage: Eukaryota; Metazoa; Chordata; Mammalia; Rodentia; Cricetidae. The record is from Rfam by way of RNAcentral.
AUCGCUCCUCGGCCUUUUGGCUAAGAUCAAGUGUAGUAUCUGUUCUUAUCAGUUUAAAUACCUGGGUUUAAUUUCUAGCAUACAGCCUCGGUAAUUCCA